This 485-nucleotide ribosomal RNA is filed under the name uncultured bacterium. Its description in RNAcentral is "bacterial SSU rRNA". It matches the Rfam family "Bacterial small subunit ribosomal RNA", at positions 29 to 507 of the family's 1533-position model. The record is from RNAcentral.
AUGAACGCUAGCGGCAGGCCUAACACAUGCAAGUCGAGGGGCAGCACGAUUGAGCUUGCUCAAUGGUGGCGACCGGCGCACGGGUGCGUAACGCGGUAUGCAACCUACCCUGUACUGGGGUAUAGCCCGAAGAAAUUCGGAUUAAUCCCCCAUAGUAUAUUUCAAUCGCAUGAUUGGACUAUUAAAGGUUACGGUACAGGAUGGGCAUGCGUCCCAUUAGCUAGAUGGUGAGGUAACGGCUCACCAUGGCGACGAUGGGUAGGGGGCCUGAGAGGGUGGUCCCCCACACUGGUACUGAGACACGGGCCAGACUCCUACGGGAGGCAGCAGUGAGGAAUAUUGGUCAAUGGGCGCAAGCCUGAACCAGCCAUGCCGCGUGCAGGAAGACGGUCCUAUGGAUUGUAAACUGCUUUUAUUUGGGAAUAAACCUAUCUACGUGUAGAUAGCUGAAGGUACCAAAUGAAUAAGCACCGGCUAACUCCGUG